RNAcentral lists this ribosomal RNA (443 nucleotides) under uncultured bacterium. RNAcentral's name for it is "partial 16S ribosomal RNA". It matches the Rfam family "Bacterial small subunit ribosomal RNA", at positions 338 to 795 of the family's 1533-position model. The record is from RNAcentral.
CCUACGGGCGGCAGCAGUGGGGAAUAUUGGGCAAUGGAGGAAACUCUGACCCAGCAACGCCGCGUGAAUGAUGAAGGUCUUCGGAUUGUAAAGUUCUUUUCUAAGGGAAGAAGAAAGUGACGGUACCUUAGGAAUAAGCCUCGGCUAACUACGUGCCAGCAGCCGCGGUAAUACGUAGGAGGCAAGCGUUAUCCGGAAUGACUGGGCGUAAAGGGUGCGUAGGUGGUUCAGCAAGUUAGUAGCGUAAUUCCGGAGCUCAACUUCGGCACUACUACUAAAACUGUUGGACUUGAGUGCAGGAGGGGCAACUGGAAUUCCUAGUGUAGCGGUGAAAUGCGUAGAUAUUAGGAGGAACACCAGUGGCGAAGGCGGCUUACUGGACUGUAACUGACGUUGAGGCUCGAAAGCGUGGGGAGCAAACAGGAUUAGAUACCCCGGUAGUC